GCCCGCCUAGCUCAAUCGGAUAGAGCGUCAGACUCUUAAGGCGGGUUCGUCCCCUCGGAUGAUCUGAAGGCUGCGAGUUCGACCCUCGCGGUGGGCU
This 97-nucleotide transfer RNA is filed under the name Vararia minispora EC-137. RNAcentral describes it as "tRNA-Lys". It matches the Rfam family "tRNA". Rfam says of the family: Transfer RNA (tRNA) molecules are approximately 80 nucleotides in length. The record is from RNAcentral. Lineage: Eukaryota; Fungi; Basidiomycota; Agaricomycetes; Russulales; Lachnocladiaceae.